This 475-nucleotide ribosomal RNA is filed under the name uncultured Pusillimonas sp. Its description in RNAcentral is "bacterial SSU rRNA". It matches the Rfam family "Bacterial small subunit ribosomal RNA", at positions 22 to 484 of the family's 1533-position model. Lineage: Bacteria; Pseudomonadati; Pseudomonadota; Betaproteobacteria; Burkholderiales; Alcaligenaceae. The record is from RNAcentral.
GCUCAGAUUGAACGCUAGCGGGAUGCUUUACACAUGCAAGUCGAACGGCAGCGCGAAGAAAGCUUGCUUUCUUUGGCGGCGAGUGGCGAACGGGUGAGUAAUAUAUCGGAACGUGCCCAGUAGCGGGGGAUAACUACGCGAAAGCGUGGCUAAUACCGCAUACGCCCUACGGGGGAAAGGGGGGGAUCGCAAGACCUCUCACUAUUGGAGCGGCCGAUAUCAGAUUAGCUUGUUGGUGAGGUAAAGGCUCACCAAGGCCGCGAUCUGUAGCUGGUUUGAGAGGACGACCAGCCACACUGGGACUGAGACACGGCCCAGACUCCUACGGGAGGCAGCAGUGGGGAAUUUUGGACAAUGGGGGAAACCCUGAUCCAGCCAUCCCGCGUGUGCGAUGAAGGCCUUCGGGUUGUAAAGCACUUUUGGCAGGGAAGAAAAGGCGCCGGAUAACACCUGGCGCUGAUGACGGUACCUGCAG